Molecule: long non-coding RNA, 942 nt
Organism: Hippocampus comes (tiger tail seahorse)
Lineage: Eukaryota; Metazoa; Chordata; Actinopteri; Syngnathiformes; Syngnathidae
Exons: 2
Source: RefSeq, a predicted model, not a curated record
UACCAGUGUUUUUGUUUCUUUUUUUCCCCCUGCUCAAGGGUUUACACUCAAAGGAAUUCGUUUUCAUGUUGUGUGUUGUCUGUGCGAAAAUACCCUGGGGCUCUUUAUGUCAACGUCUGAGGAUUUAAAAAAAAAAGCAGGAGUGACUAAUCAGGCCACAUGGGGGCUCCAGAGAUAGAAGAACUCUGAGGGAUACCUCCUCUGGGAUUCAAACACACACAGGAAAGAGCAGACCUCCACCAAGGCAGAAUCAAACUUUAAAUUGAGAUCCAUUCCAAACGUGUACACCUCUUAUAUUCCUCACGUCUCGAGAAUGUCUACUUUUCAGGUGACAUUCUUCCAUUUGGUCUUACACCUUUGAUUGCUGCAGCGACAUCAACACCCCCAAAUCAUCAAUUGCGAAUUGAAGGUGCCCAAGAAUGUCUGCUCUAUUACACUGUCCCUGAUUAAAAUGGUAGAAAGUCUCAUGCCAACCUCCCAACCAGACCAAAAAUGUCACAAAAGCCAAACGACUGGGAUUACCUCAUCUUGCCAAGCUGUUUCCCAAAACACUUCCAGCCAUUAGUGAGUGUUAAAAGAGUGAGAGUUAAAAGAAAGAAACGAAUCUGCACACGCUGAUCUUGGUGGCUCACCAGUUCCUUCUGCGCGAAGCAUUUUCGUGACGCAUUUUUUUAUUACAACAGGCUAAUUCAACUGAAUGAUUUGUAUUUAUUUAUUUAUUUCGACCAAAAUCAUCCGGACUUUCAUCUUGAGGCAACUUAAUGCUGCACCGUACAAGCGUUAGACGACCAGCUUUGUAUGUUUGGGGAGCAGCAAAGUCUAUCCCGUGUUGUUAUUGGAAGUUACGGAGUAUGUUCACCGCAUGUACAUUUGUAUUUCUGGUGCAUUUUCCUUUUGUGAAAUUAGGCCUCGAAACACAUAGCCAAAAAAAAAAAAAAAAAA